RNAcentral lists this ribosomal RNA (253 nucleotides) under uncultured bacterium. Its description in RNAcentral is "partial 16S ribosomal RNA". It matches the Rfam family "Bacterial small subunit ribosomal RNA", at positions 524 to 776 of the family's 1533-position model. The record is from RNAcentral.
UACGAAGGGGGCUAGCGUUGCUCGGAAUUACUGGGCGUAAAGGGCGCGUAGGCGGACAACUUAGUCAGAGGUGAAAGCCCAGGGCUCAACCUUGGAAUUGCCUUUGAUACUGGUUGUCUUGAGUUCGGGAGAGGUGAGUGGAAUGCCGAGUGUAGAGGUGAAAUUCGUAGAUAUUCGGCGGAACACCAGUGGCGAAGGCGACUCACUGGCCCGAUACUGACGCUGAGGUGCGAAAGCGUGGGGAGCAAACAGG